ACGGAGGGUGCAAGCGUUACUCGGAAUUACUGGGCGUAAAGGACGCGUAGGCGGAUAGAAAAGUUGGAUGUGAAAUCCUAUGGCUCAACCAUAGAACUGCAUCCAAAACUCUCUAUCUAGAGUGAGGGAGAGGUCAGUGGAAUUAGUGGUGUAGGGGUAAAAUCCGUAGAGAUCACUAGGAAUACUCAUUGCGAAGGCGACUGACUGGAACUUAACUGACGCUGAGGCGUGAAAGCGUGGGGAGCAAACAGGAUUAGAUACCCUGGUAGUCCACGCCCUAAACGAUGUACACUAGUUGUUGGAGUGCAAGUCACUCCAGUAAUGCAGCUAACGCAUUAAGUGUACCGCCUGGGGAGUACGGUCGCAAGAUUAAAACUCAAAGGAAUAGACGGGGACCCGCACAAGCGGUGGAGCAUGUGGUUUAAUUCGAAGAUACGCGAAGAACCUUACCUGGGCUUGACAUCCCAAGAACUCUCCAGAGAUGGAGAGGUGCCGGCUUGCCGGAACUUGGUGACAGGUGCUGCACGGCUGUCGUCAGCUCGUGUCGUGAGAUGUUGGGUUAAGUCCCGCAACGAGCGCAACCCUCGUCGUUAGUUGCUAACAGUUCGGCUGAGCACUCUAACGAGACUGCCUUCGUAAGGAGGAGGAAGGUGAGGACGACGUCAAGUCAUCAUGGCCCUUAUGUCCAGGGCUACACACGUGCUACAAUGGGAAGGACAAUGAGAGGCAAUACCGCGAGGUGGAGCAAAUCUAUAAACCUUCUCUCAGUUCGGAUAGCACUCUGCAACUCGAGUGCUUGAAGCUGGAAUCGCUAGUAAUCGUAGAUCAGCAAUGCUACGGUGAAUACGUUCCCGGGUCUUGCACACACCUCCCGUC
This 876-nucleotide ribosomal RNA is filed under the name uncultured bacterium. RNAcentral's name for it is "bacterial SSU rRNA". It matches the Rfam family "Bacterial small subunit ribosomal RNA", at positions 525 to 1398 of the family's 1533-position model. The record is from RNAcentral.